GCCUGGGUGGCUCAGUCAGUUAAGCAGCUGACUUCGGCUCAGGUCAUGAUCUUGUGGUUUGUGGGUUCAAGCCCCGCAUCGGGCU
Molecule: transfer RNA, 85 nt
Filed under: Felis catus (domestic cat)
Lineage: Eukaryota; Metazoa; Chordata; Mammalia; Carnivora; Felidae
Also listed under: 5 other names
Rfam family: tRNA
About the family: Transfer RNA (tRNA) molecules are approximately 80 nucleotides in length. Their secondary structure includes four short double-helical elements and three loops (D, anti-codon, and T loops).
Source: Rfam by way of RNAcentral